UGCAGUCGAACGAGAACGGAUUAUAGCUUGCUAUAAUUGUCAGCUAAGUGGCGCACGGGUGAGUAAUGUAUAGAUAACCUGCCCUUAAGAAAGGAAUAACAGUUGGAAACGACUGCUAAUGCCCUAUAUGCCUUUAAUACAUAAGUAUGCAAGGGAAACGCUUUAGUGCUUAAGGAUGGGUCUGUAUGGUAUCAGCUUGUUGGUGAGGUAAUGGCUCACCAAGGCUAUGACGCCUAACUGGUUUGAGAGGAUGAUCAGUCACACUGGAACUGAGACACGGUCCAGACUCCUACGGGAGGCAGCAGUGGGGAAUAUUGCACAAUGGACGAAAGUCUGAUGCAGCAACGCCGCGUGGAGGAUGACACAUUUCGGUGCGUAAACUCCUUUUAUAUAGGAAGAUAAUGACGGUACUAUAUGAAUAAGCACCGGCUAACUCCGUGCCAGCA
This 446-nucleotide ribosomal RNA is filed under the name uncultured bacterium. RNAcentral's name for it is "bacterial SSU rRNA". It matches the Rfam family "Bacterial small subunit ribosomal RNA", at positions 56 to 513 of the family's 1533-position model. The record is from RNAcentral.